RNAcentral lists this ribosomal RNA (555 nucleotides) under uncultured bacterium. RNAcentral's name for it is "bacterial SSU rRNA". It matches the Rfam family "Bacterial small subunit ribosomal RNA", at positions 327 to 906 of the family's 1533-position model. The record is from RNAcentral.
CGGCCCAGACUCCUACGGGAGGCAGCAGUGGGGAAUCUUAGACAAUGGGCGCAAGUGAUCUAGCCAUGCCGCGUGAGUGACGAAGGCCUUAGGGUCGUAAAGCUCUUUCGCCAGGGAUGAUAAUGACAGUACCUGGUAAAGAAACCCCGGCUAACUCCGUGCCAGCAGCCGCGGUAAUACGGAGGGGGUUAGCGUUGUUCGGAAUUACUGGGCGUAAAGCGCGCGUAGGGGAUUGGAAAGUUGGGGGUGAAAUCCCGGGGCUCAACCCCGAACUGCCUCCAAAACUAUCAGUCUAGAGUUCGAGAGAGGUGAGUGGAAUUCCAAGUGUAGAGGUGAAAUUCGUAGAUAUUUGGAGGAACACCAGUGGCGAAGGGGCUCACUGGCUCGAUACUGACGCUGAGGGUGCGAAAGUGUGGGGAGCAAACAGGAUUAGAUACCCUGGUAGUCCACACCGUAAACGAUGAAUGCCAGACGUCGGGGGGCUUGCCUUCGGUGUCACACCUAACGGAUUAAGCAUUCCGCCUGGGAGUACGGUCGCAAGAUUAAAACUCAAAG